This 330-nucleotide ribosomal RNA is filed under the name uncultured bacterium. RNAcentral describes it as "bacterial SSU rRNA". It matches the Rfam family "Bacterial small subunit ribosomal RNA", at positions 568 to 898 of the family's 1533-position model. The record is from RNAcentral.
UGUGUAGGCGGUUGCUUAAGUUUGGUGUGAAAUCUCCCGGCUCAACUGGGAGGGUGCGCCGAAUACUGAGUAACUAGAGUGCGGGAGAGGAAAGUGGAAUUCCUGGUGUAGCGGUGAAAUGCGUAGAUAUCAGGAGGAACACCGGUGGUGUAGACGGCUUUCUGGACCGUAACUGACGCUGAGACACGAAAGCGUGGGUAGCAAACAGGAUUAGAUACCCUGGUAGUCCACGCCCUAAACGAUGCACAUUUGGUGUGGGUCAUUCAGUUGAUCCGUGCCGGAGCUAACGCGUUAAAUGUGCCGCCUGGGGAGUACAGUCGCAAGGCUGAA